Molecule: unclassified non-coding RNA, 652 nt
Filed under: Hevea brasiliensis (rubber tree)
Lineage: Eukaryota; Viridiplantae; Streptophyta; Magnoliopsida; Malpighiales; Euphorbiaceae
Source: RNAcentral
UCUCCAUUUUGCUGUGGAAAGCGGCAGUUUUAAAGGAAUGCGACUUAUUACUGAAAAACCUUCCCUGGCCAACCUAAUCAAUCAGAAAGAUGAAAAAGGGAACACUCCAGUCCAUCUAGUGGCUGCUCUUGGCUUUGAAGAUUGUUGUCUUACAGAACACCACCUAGUAGAUAAAAAGGCCGUCAAUAAUAAGAAUUUAACCGCUCUGGACGUGGUGCUAGAAACGAAGCAUAAAAGCAAAUUGCCAUUACCGGUAUACCAACUUGAUUUUAUGCCCAUAUAAUUGGAAGGCAUUGAUUUGUUUUUGUAACAGCACAGUGGAUGAACUUUCUUGUUGCAGGGAUUGACAGCAAGAUUCUUAAAGAACGCUGGAUAUAAACGAGGUCGGCCUGUAAUCCAGCUGAAAUCACCUGAUAGCAAGUCAAUAGUUGACAAUGAGUUAAUCCGUGUAUUCAAGGAAACAAGUAAAUCCCAUCAGAUAGUAGCCACUCUCAUAGCAACAGUAACUUUUGCGGCAGGUUUCACCGUACCUGGCGGUUACGGUAAUAACGAUGGCCCUGACGAAGGAACAGCAAUUUUAACUAGAAGAUCAGCCUUCAAAACUUUCCUUGUAACCGAUACCCUUGCGUUGGCCCUCUCCAUUUCUGUUGUG